Molecule: ribosomal RNA, 728 nt
Filed under: uncultured Bacilli bacterium
Lineage: Bacteria; Bacillati; Bacillota; Bacilli
Description: bacterial SSU rRNA
Rfam family: Bacterial small subunit ribosomal RNA
Source: RNAcentral
ACAUGCAAGUCGAGCGGACCGACGGGAGCUUGCUCCCUUAGGUCAGCGGCGGACAGGUGAGUAACACGUGGGUAACCUGCCUGUAAGACUGGGAUAACUCCGGGAAACCGGGGCUAAUACCGGAUGCUUGAUUGAACCGCAUGGUUCAAUCAUAAAAGGUGGCUUUUAGCUACCACUUGCAGAUGGACCCGCGGCGCAUUAGCUAGUUGGUGAGGUAACGGCUCACCAAGGCGACGAUGCGUAGCCGACCUGAGAGGGUGAUCGGCCACACUGGGACUGAGACACGGCCCAGACUCCUACGGGAGGCAGCAGUAGGGAAUCUUCCGCAAUGGACGAAAGUCUGACGGAGCAACGCCGCGUGAGUGAUGAAGGUUUUCGGAUCGUAAAACUCUGUUGUUAGGGAAGAACAAGUACCGUUCGAAUAGGGCGGUACCUUGACGGUACCUAACCAGAAAGCCACGGCUAACUACGUGCCAGCAGCCGCGGUAAUACGUAGGUGGCAAGCGUUGUCCGGAAUUAUUGGGCGUAAAGCGCGCGCAGGCGGUUUCUUAAGUCUGAUGUGAAAGCCCCCGGCUCAACCGGGGAGGGUCAUUGGAAACUGGGGAACUUGAGUGCAGAAGAGGAGAGUGGAAUUCCACGUGUAGCGGUGAAAUGCGUAGAGAUGUGGAGGAACACCAGUGGCGAAGGCGACUCUCUGGUCUGUAACUGACGCUGAGGCGCGAAAGCGU